GAUGAACGCUGGCGGCGUGCCUAAUACAUGCAAGUCGAGCGAACGGACGAGAAGCUUGCUUCUCUGAUGUUAGCGGCGGACGGGUGAGUAACACGUGGAUAACCUACCUAUAAGACUGGGAUAACUUCGGGAAACCGGCGCUAAUACCGGAUGAUAUUUUGAACCGCAUGGUUCAAAAGUGAAAGACGGUCUUGCUGUCACUUAUAGAUGGAUCCGCGCUGCAUUAGCUAGUUGGUAAGGUAACGGCUUACCAAGGCAACGAUGCAUAGCCGAACUGAGAGGGUGAUCGGCCACACUGGAACUGAGACACGGUCCAGACUCCUACGGGAGGCAGCAGUAGGGAAUCUUACGCAAUGGGCGAAAGCCUGACGGAGCAACGCCGCGUGAGUGAUGAAGGUCUUCGGAUCGGAAAACUCUGUUAUUAGGGAAGAACAUAUGUGUAAGUAACUGUGCACAUCUUGACGGUACCUAAUCAGAAAGCCACGGCUAACUACGUG
Molecule: ribosomal RNA, 497 nt
Filed under: uncultured bacterium
Lineage: Bacteria
Description: partial 16S ribosomal RNA
Rfam family: Bacterial small subunit ribosomal RNA
Source: RNAcentral